UACGUAGGGGGCAAGCGUUGUCCGGAUUUAUUGGGCGUAAAGAGCGUGUAGGCGGCUUUACAGGUCCGUUGUGAAAACUCGGGGCUUAACCCCGAGCCUGCUUCUGAUACGGGCAGACUAGAGGUAUGCAGGGGAGAACGGAAUUCCUGGUGUAGCGGUGAAAUGCGCAGAUAUCAGGAGGAACACCGGUGGCGAAGGCGGCUCUCUGGAACGCAACUGACGCUGAGACGCGAAAGCGUGGGGAGCAAACAGG
Molecule: ribosomal RNA, 253 nt
Filed under: uncultured bacterium
Lineage: Bacteria
Description: partial 16S ribosomal RNA
Rfam family: Bacterial small subunit ribosomal RNA
Source: RNAcentral